GAGACAGCAGCCGCCGCGGGAAUACGGAGGGUGCAAGCGUUAAUCGGAAUUACUGGGCGUAAAGCGCACGCAGGCGGUCUGACAAGUCAGAUGUGAAAUCCCCGGGCUUAACCUGGGAACUGCAUUUGAAACUGUCAGGCUGGAGUCUUGUAGAGGGGGGUAGAAUUCCAGGUGUAGCGGUGAAAUGCGUAGAGAUCUGGAGGAAUACCGGUGGCGAAGGCGGCCCCCUGGACAAAGACUGACGCUCAGGUGCGAAAGCGUGGGGAGCAAACAGGAUUAGAUACCCCUGUAGUCCCUGUCUCUUAUAC
RNAcentral lists this ribosomal RNA (308 nucleotides) under uncultured bacterium. RNAcentral's name for it is "partial 16S ribosomal RNA". It matches the Rfam family "Bacterial small subunit ribosomal RNA", at positions 505 to 807 of the family's 1533-position model. The record is from RNAcentral.